This 252-nucleotide ribosomal RNA is filed under the name uncultured bacterium. Its description in RNAcentral is "partial 16S ribosomal RNA". It matches the Rfam family "Bacterial small subunit ribosomal RNA", at positions 524 to 776 of the family's 1533-position model. The record is from RNAcentral.
UACGGAGGGGCUAGCGUUGUUCGGAAUUACUGGGCGUAAAGCGCACGUAGGCGGAUCAGUAAGUUAGAGGUGAAAGCCCAGGGCUCAACCCUGGAACUGCCUUUGAUACUGCUGGUCUGGAGGUCGAGAGAGGUGAGUGGAAUUCCGAGUGUAGAGGUGAAAUUCGUAGAUAUUCGGAGGAACACCAGUGGCGAAGGCGGCUCACUGGCUCGAUACUGACGCUGAGGUGCGAAAGCGUGGGGAGCAAACAGG